GUGCCUAUAGUGUAAUGGUUAGCACAAGGGUCUGUGGAUCCCUUAGUUCCGGUUCAAAUCCGGAUAGGCACCCCA
This 75-nucleotide transfer RNA is filed under the name Patescibacteria group bacterium. RNAcentral's name for it is "tRNA-His". It matches the Rfam family "tRNA". Rfam says of the family: Transfer RNA (tRNA) molecules are approximately 80 nucleotides in length. Their secondary structure includes four short double-helical elements and three loops (D, anti-codon, and T loops). The record is from RNAcentral.